Molecule: ribosomal RNA, 266 nt
Filed under: uncultured bacterium
Lineage: Bacteria
Description: partial 16S ribosomal RNA
Rfam family: Bacterial small subunit ribosomal RNA
Source: RNAcentral
AAUCUGCCUCUAGGUCGGGGACAACAACUGGAAACGGUUGCUAAUACCCGAUGUGCAGCAAUGUGAAAGAUUUAUUGCCUAGAGAUGAGCUCGCGUCUGAUUAGCUAGUAGGUGUGGUAAUGGCGCACCUAGGCGACGAUCAGUAACUGGUCUGAGAGGAUGACCAGUCACACUGGGACUGAGACACGGCCCAGACUCCUACGGGAGGCAGCAGUGGGGAAUUUUCCGCAAUGGGCGAAAGCCUGACGGAGCAAUACCGCGUGAGG